Molecule: microRNA precursor, 91 nt
Filed under: Trialeurodes vaporariorum (greenhouse whitefly)
Lineage: Eukaryota; Metazoa; Arthropoda; Insecta; Hemiptera; Aleyrodidae
Description: microRNA mir-263
Rfam family: mir-263 microRNA precursor family
Source: RNAcentral
UGGCGAGCCUUGACUCUUGGCACUGGAAGAAUUCACAGACAGUUUUUUUAAAGAUCGUGGAUCUUUUGGUGCCAAACUUUACGGCUCACCC